Molecule: ribosomal RNA, 164 nt
Filed under: Pinguicula villosa
Lineage: Eukaryota; Viridiplantae; Streptophyta; Magnoliopsida; Lamiales; Lentibulariaceae
Description: 5.8S ribosomal RNA
Rfam family: 5.8S ribosomal RNA
About the family: 5.8S ribosomal RNA (5.8S rRNA) is a component of the large subunit of the eukaryotic ribosome. It is transcribed by RNA polymerase I as part of the 45S precursor that also contains 18S and 28S rRNA. Functionally, it is thought that 5.8S rRNA may be involved in ribosome translocation.
Source: RNAcentral
UGACUCUCGGCAACGGAUAUCUCGGCUCUCGCAUCGAUGAAGAACGUAGCAAAAUGCGAUACUUGGUGUGAAUUGCAGAAUCCCGUGAACCAUCGAGUCUUUGAACGCAAGUUGCGCCCGAAGCCAUCAGGCCAAGGGCACGCCUGCUUGGGCGUCGUGCAUCA